CAUAUGUGGAGGUACUAUCAGGCAAGAGCUCUGUGAUGAUAGGGUUUGAGUGAGAUUUUGUUAGAGGUGACCUCACUUUAGGAGGCGUUCUCCUCCCACCAUGUGAGUGUUAGUCGUGGGAGCAUUUGGAUCAGCAGGGGGAGUCGAAGGUCAUCAGGGGGAGUCGAAGGUGAGAAAUUUUGAUCGGGGGUCAUGUGAGAAUAAUUAGGAACAAGUUAGAGAGAAGCGGGACUUUCUUUCUCUUCAUUCCUUUUUAUAAAAAAUUAAUCAAUAUUGCUUGGACAAUUACUACUAGUAGU
RNAcentral lists this long non-coding RNA (299 nucleotides) under Capsicum annuum. RNAcentral describes it as "long non-coding RNA (CANN_LNC016821)". The record is from RNAcentral. Lineage: Eukaryota; Viridiplantae; Streptophyta; Magnoliopsida; Solanales; Solanaceae.